AAGCUCGUAGUUGAACCUUGGACCUGGCUGAUCUGUCCUCCUAAUCGAGCGUACGGAUUCGGUCGGGUCUUUCCUUCUGGGGAACCCUAUGUCCUUCAUUGGGUGUAGUGGGGAACCAGGACUUUUACCUUGAAAAAAUUAGAGUGUUCAAAGCAGGCCUUUGCUCGAAUACAUUAGCAUGGAAUAAUAGAAUAGGACAUCGGUUCUAUUUUGUUGGUUUCUAGGACCGCUGUAAUGAUCAAUAGGGAUAGUCGGGGGCGUCCGUAUUCAAUUGUCAGAGGUGAAAUUCUUGGAUUUAUUGAAGACGAACUACUGCGAAAGCAUUCGCCAAGGAUGUUUUCAUUAAUCAGUGAACGAAAGUUAGGGGAUCGAAGACGAUCAGAUACCGUCGUAGUCUUAACCAUAAACUAUGCCGACUAGGGAUCGGACGGUGGUUUUUUUAUGCCCCGUUCGGCACCUUA
Molecule: ribosomal RNA, 461 nt
Filed under: uncultured Cyphellophora
Lineage: Eukaryota; Fungi; Ascomycota; Eurotiomycetes; Chaetothyriales; Herpotrichiellaceae
Description: SSU rRNA
Rfam family: Eukaryotic small subunit ribosomal RNA
Source: RNAcentral